Molecule: ribosomal RNA, 511 nt
Filed under: uncultured archaeon
Lineage: Archaea
Description: bacterial SSU rRNA
Rfam family: Archaeal small subunit ribosomal RNA
Source: RNAcentral
AUCUCUGCAAUAGGCGAAAGCUUGACAGGGUUACUCUGAGUGAUUCCCGCUAAGGGGAUCUUUUGGCACCUCUAAAAAUGGUGCAGAAUAAGGGGUGGGCAAGUCUGGUGUCAGCCGCCGCGGUAAUACCAGCACCCCGAGUGGUCGGGACGAUUAUUGGGCCUAAAGCAUCCGUAGCCGGUACUGCAAGUCUUCCGUUAAAUCCACCUGCUCAACAGUUGGGCUGCGGGGGAUACUACAGCGCUAGGAGGCGGGAGAGGCAAGCGGUACUUAAUGGGUAGGGGUAAAAUCCACUGAUCCAUUGAAGACCACCAGUGGCGAAGGCGGUUUGCCAGAACGCGCUCGACGGUGAGGGAUGAAAGCUGGGGGAGCAAACCGGAUUAGAUACCCGGGUAGUCCCAGCUGUAAACGAUGCAGACUCGGUGAUGGGCUGGCCUUGUGUCAACCCAGUGCCGCAGGGAAGCCGUUAAGUCUGCCGCCUGGGGAGUACGGUCGCAAGACUGAAACUUAA